Molecule: transfer-messenger RNA, 352 nt
Filed under: Clostridia
Lineage: Bacteria; Bacillati; Bacillota
Also listed under: 2 other names
Description: DUPQ01 sp012838235 Standard tmRNA
Rfam family: transfer-messenger RNA
About the family: Bacterial tmRNA, also known as 10Sa RNA or SsrA, is named for its dual tRNA and mRNA-like properties.
Source: RNAcentral
GGGGGCGUAAAGGUUUCGACGGGAUGAUUGAAAUAUUGACGGCGUGCAGAGGAUUCUCGUUGGCCUCUUUAAAAAACGAGAGAUUAAAAUAAACGCAAAACCUAAUUUUGCACCUUUAGCAGCUUAAGCUGGCUAAACAUCCCACCGGAAAUCACGGGGUCCGGAUCGGGGUGUCAUCUACCGUGAAAACCCGAUAAUCAAAGCUUUGAGGUUAAAGGGUAAACUAUGAAGCUACCGAUAAAGCACCCGGCUUACAGGGGACUUUAAAGGGAAAUUAAACAGUAAGCUACGCAUGUAGAAGUCGGUACGGACAUUGUUUCGGACGAGGGUUCGAUUCCCUCCGCCUCCACCA